This 547-nucleotide ribosomal RNA is filed under the name uncultured bacterium. RNAcentral's name for it is "bacterial SSU rRNA". It matches the Rfam family "Bacterial small subunit ribosomal RNA", at positions 355 to 896 of the family's 1533-position model. The record is from RNAcentral.
UGGGGAAUAUUGCGCAAUGGGGGGAACCCUGACGCAGCCAUGCCGCGUGAAUGAAGAAGGCCUUCGGGUUGUAAAGUUCUUUCGGUAUUGAGGAAGGUUGAUGUGUUAAUAGCACAUCAAAUUGACGCUAAAUACAGAAGAAGCACCGGCUAACUCCGUGCCAGCAGCCGCGGUAAUACGGAGGGUGCGAGCGUUAAUCGGAAUAACUGGGCGUAAAGGGCACGCAGGCGGUUAUUUAAGUGAGGUGUGAAAGCCCCGGGCUUAACCUGGGAAUUGCAUUUCAGACUGGGUAACUAGAGUACUUUAGGGAGGGGUAGAAUUCCACGUAUAGCGGUGAAAUGCGUAGAGAUGUGGAGGAAUACCGAAGGCGAAGGCAGCCCCUUGGGAAUGUACUGACGCUCAUGUGCGAAAGCGUGGGGAGCAAACAGGAUUAGAUACCCUGGUAGUCCACGCUGUAAACGCUGUCGAUUUGGGGGUUGGGGUUUAACUCUGGCGCCCGUAGCUAACGUGAUAAAUCGACCGCCUGGGGAGUACGGCCGCAAGGUUA